Molecule: long non-coding RNA, 808 nt
Organism: Acanthopagrus latus (yellowfin seabream)
Lineage: Eukaryota; Metazoa; Chordata; Actinopteri; Spariformes; Sparidae
Exons: 3
Source: RefSeq, a predicted model, not a curated record
UAAAGUUAAAGGUAGAAUCAGAAGGAUUUUUGUCGCAGCUGUUCCUGAACGCAUCACAAAGACAGUUGAUUGUUGAGUCAAACAGAGCGUCAGAAAAACAAGCACCUACACAUAAGACUGUGUUUCUGGGUCACCUGACCCGGGUCUGACUGCACACAGACCCGGACCUGGACCAGGAUUGGGUCAGAACAACUUAUGAUGUCAUACACCUGUGUAUCAGUGCAGAUCAGAGCGGAAGUGAAGUCUGAGUCCGUGGCACCAGAUGGUCGUGGGAGUAAAAAAAAAAAAAGAAAAAGAAAGAAAAUCAGGAGGUUGAAGGACAGAAGGACGACUGGAGUUUGUGCUAAUUGCGACAAACAGGAGUAAAAAUACUCGAGUGCAUCACAUCGAGUAAACGCUGAACAAAUGGAGGGUCACGCAGAUGGCCGAGCUGGAUGACGAGAUCUACAUCAGCAGGAUUUUAUGGGAGAAGAAUCAACUGGCCGGAGCUGCAGAGGAGGAAGCGCUCAGAUCGUUUAUCAUCCGGCACAGUGGAAACACUCCCAGACAGAAAAAGAUGUCCCCCCCCUCCUCCUCCAUCUCUGAGGUUUCUUUAAGGAUUUAUUAUCAUCAAUUCCAGAGGCGAAGAAGGAUGGAUGGUGUUUCGUGCUGUACGGGUUGUGAAGCCCCUCGAGUCAAAAUGUGUGAUUUAUGAAUAAAAUUGACUAUUUUAUCUUCGCCCACACCAAAAAAAUAAAAUAAAAUAAAAAUCCAGGAGCGAGAUGAGCCACAUUCUUAAAUCUGAGAGCGCAGCCAGCUUUGUUUUUAC